This 484-nucleotide ribosomal RNA is filed under the name uncultured bacterium. RNAcentral's name for it is "partial 16S ribosomal RNA". It matches the Rfam family "Bacterial small subunit ribosomal RNA", at positions 30 to 507 of the family's 1533-position model. The record is from RNAcentral.
AUUGAACGCUGGCGGCAGGCCUAACACAUGCAAGUCGAGCGGAUGAAGGGAGCUUGCUCCUGGAUUCAGCGGCGGACGGGUGAGUAAUGCCUAGGAAUCUGCCUGGUAGUGGGGGAUAACGUCCGGAAACGGGCGCUAAUACCGCAUACGUCCUGAGGGAGAAAGUGGGGGAUCUUCGGACCUCACGCUAUCAGAUGAGCCUAGGUCGGAUUAGCUAGUUGGUGGGGUAAAGGCCUACCAAGGCGACGAUCCGUAACUGGUCUGAGAGGAUGAUCAGUCACACUGGAACUGAGACACGGUACAGACUCCUACGGGAGGCAGCAGUGGGGAAUAUUGGACAAUGGGCGAAAGCCUGAUCCAGCCAUGCCGCGUGUGUGAAGAAGGUCCUCGGAUUGUAAAGCACUUUAAGUUGGGAGGAAGGGCAGUAAGUUAAUACCUUGCUGUUUUGACGUUACCAACAGAAUAAGCACCGGCUAACUUCGUG